GUGAGAAAGAUGGAGAAGGGCCAUAUGGAAGGGAAGGGGUAGAAGGGCUAGGGAGGAGACUAGAAGGUUUCCCACUGACUGUCCUAAUUGUGGCAGGUAAGUCUUGACACCAAUAUGUUAUUCCCAGUUGUAGACUAUUCCUAGUGAAACACCAUGAACUCCCUGGGUGCCUCUUGGGGUUGAGUGUAGCCAGAAGGCAAGGGAAAGGGAGCCAAGUGUAGACAGGAGAAGUCUGGGCCAUGUGGACACUGAGGUCAUGCCUGAACCUGGGCUGCAUCCCGGGGAAGGCUGUUGGGAACACAGGGUCAGGGGCUCUGCAAUCACACACUGGGCUGGGAGGCAGAGGGGAAGCUAGGAAGAAUUAACCUCUUCUCUACUUUCUGCUGCCUAGGACAAGGUUUUCCCAGACUCAGAAGCAAGUGGGAGCCUGCCUGCCAGAACCUUCUAGAUCAAGUGCUCAGCCUGCUGACGACACUCGGAGAGUGGGAAUCAGAGGAAGAGAGAACCAAAGACCCUGCUUCUAAACGCAUCGAGAUUGGUUGCUGGGACAAAUGAGCUCCGUGACACAUCACAGUGCAAGCGCCACAGAAGGUCUAACUCUUAAAAGUUUCCAUGCACUGGCUCUCCUCCCAUGGAUUCAAAGCCAUGUGAUUCAAAGCUAUCCUGUAGAUGCUUCUGUCAUCUGAUAGAUGUGGCUGUCCCUCAGCUGUGACAUCCAUCUGUUAAGCUGGAAGAGGCAAGAGCUGGAGAAGGCAUGACAGGGCCAUUUUCUUACUGACCCUCACUCUACAGAAGCCACGUCAGGAGGAAGAUGAGAGAGAGAAGAUCAGCCAAGAGCCUGACCUCAGGUGAAUAAGUCCUCAAAGGUCUAGCACCUUAGAUGUGUCAUUAAAGAAGGAGAUGCGUCUUGGGACAGAGUCUUCUCUCUGGUACUUCAGGAAGGCCAGACCUUGGAAGUCAGCCAAGAAAAGGGGAUCAGUUGUUGAAGCGCCCAACGUGCUCAGGUUCAAGAGAAUAAGAAAGCAGAGACCACAGUGGCCCACCUGGUUUGCAUAAUGGUCCCUUGGAGAUUCUAGCCCAGCCACUGUGGACACAGGACCCGGGAGUCUGCUGAUCCUCCUCAGUCAUCUCCUGCUUGUAUGAUGUCACGUUUCCAUGGUGUCCUCCUUAGCCACCAAGUGGUAUUUCCUGUGCUUAGGCGUCUGUUGAGAAUGCAGGAGGUAGAAGGUGCAGUCAGAAAGCCAUUGGCUCUGCCCCACAGUCCUGGAGUAAACCUGGCCUGACUGUCUAGCUCCACUCAGUACCAGGGCUCUAUGUUCUGUCAGUUUAGCUGCUGAAGGGACCAUCUAUCGAUCCAUCUGACUUACCGAGAUGGGGAGGAAUCGCAGGUAGCCCUGGUGGACACCGUGGGGGAUCACGGUGGCAAGUUCGUCACGGCCAUCCAGGAUGCCCAGCCACCAGGAACUCUUCUCUCGGAUGGAACAGACCAUCCCCCAGAGCCUGAAGUCUCCAGUAAAGACCACAGAAUCACCAUGCCGUGUUAUCUAAAGCCUAAACCACUUCCCCUGGACCAGAGAAUUGGAGACCCCUUUCUCUGUACCCGGGGAGAGUCUAGGUACGGCUGUUUUCUUAGAUCCAUGCAGUUGUCAGUCCAAGACCAAUCCCCGACUGUCUAUGUGGCUCCAUUGUACCCUCCAGGAGCUGCCGUUUCCUUAUGCAUCACACACAGUAGGACGAGGGAUCUUGAGAGAUGCCAAACAGCAACCGUAUCCAAAGAGUUAAAAAAAAAAAUACUGCUUCCCCAGUUUCUCCUUUCUGGCUAUCUCAUAGUGAGGAGAAUUGUUGCCAGAGUGAGGAGGUGGCAGGGAGGAGAAACUGCCCAGUUACACUGCCACCAGGAGCCAGAAGCAAGGUCGGCAGGUUGGUUAGUUCAAGACUAGUACAAUGGGAUAUUUGCAGAGCCUCUGCCCCCUAGUGGUAGUGAUCUGGAACUGCGUCAGCUGGUAGCUUUCUUAGGAGAGCAUCCAAAGAAGUGGUAGUGUCCACGUCAGAGAGCAUCCUGUGUCAUGUCCACGUCCACACUGGGCAUUUCCCACAGCACUCAGGAUUGUAUUUGUCUUUACCUCAAGUCCGAUUGUUUAGUUCCUUAUGACUCCUCCUCACUCCUGAUGGUGAGUUAAGAAUUUUGAGAAAGUAUGGCUUGUUACCAAGUUUUAGGGGUCAUCUUAUUAGAAGAAUAUUUUUCUUGUUUGCAAGUUAACAUCAGGGAAAGGAGGCCACUUGGUCUGUGUCUUCCCAGCUCACAUCCUGGUGUCUGUUUGCCUAGGAUAGCCCCAAAGCCAGUGUGCCCGAGCCUCAGUCAGUCCUGAGACUGUAACUCUGACCUUGACCUGCAUCUCCCAGGGCCUUGAGUGUCCACCCACUCACACGAUAGUGGUCUGGAGGUCCUCUGGGGAGCACUAGGCUGGGUGGAUAUGCUAAAGAGUCUGAUGAGCCAAGAUGACUCCACCCCUCUUACCCCAGUGCCUGAAGAUCUGACUGUGGCAGCUGCAGGAGAGAUGUCAAGGACGGGGUGGCACAGACAGCUAUUGGAAGCCAGUGUCCCCUUCCGGAAGGGACAUUUGAUAUCCCUCUGAUAUAAAAUCCAGCUUUGCUAUUUGAUACAUACGCCUGUGCUGGAAGCUACAAUGUGAGUUCAGUCAGCUGGCAACCAGCAUCACCCCAAUAUACCAUCACACUUACACAGACACACACACACAC
RNAcentral lists this small RNA (2760 nucleotides) under Rattus norvegicus (Norway rat). RNAcentral describes it as "uncharacterized LOC102549032". The record is from RNAcentral. Lineage: Eukaryota; Metazoa; Chordata; Mammalia; Rodentia; Muridae.